This 253-nucleotide ribosomal RNA is filed under the name uncultured bacterium. RNAcentral's name for it is "partial 16S ribosomal RNA". It matches the Rfam family "Bacterial small subunit ribosomal RNA", at positions 524 to 776 of the family's 1533-position model. The record is from RNAcentral.
UACGAAGGGGGCGAGCGUUGUUCGGAAUUACUGGGCGUAAAGCGUGCGCAGGCGGGCUUUUAAGCCAGACGUGAAAUCCCCGGGCUUAACCUGGGAAUGGCGUUUGGGACUGGAAGUCUGGAGUGCGGCAGAGGAGACUGGAAUUCCUGGUGUAGCAGUGAAAUGCGUAGAUAUCAGGAGGAACACCGAUGGCGAAGGCAGGUCUCUGGGCUGACACUGACGCUCAUGCACGAAAGCGUGGGGAGCAAACAGG